GAUGAAGAACGUAGCGAACUGCGAUAACUAAUGUGAAUUGCAGAAUUCAGUGAAUCAUCGAGUCUUUGAACGCACAUUGCGCCCCCUGGUAUUCCGGGGGGCAUGCCUGUCCGAGCGUCAUUGCUGCCCUCAAGCACGGCUUGUGUGUUGGGCUCCGUCCCCCCGGGGACGGGCCCGAAAGGCAGCGGCGGCACCGAGUCCGGUCCUCGAGCGUAUGGGGCUUUGUCACCCGCUCUGUAGGCCCGGCCGGCGCCAGCCGACAACCCAUCAUCCUUUUCAGGUUGACCUCGGAUCAGGUAGGGAUACCCGCUGAACUUAAGCAUAUCAAUAAGCGGAGGA
RNAcentral lists this unclassified non-coding RNA (339 nucleotides) under soil metagenome. RNAcentral describes it as "partial contains 5.8S ribosomal RNA, internal transcribed spacer 2, and large subunit ribosomal RNA". The stretch from base 1 to 120 matches the Rfam family "5.8S ribosomal RNA", at positions 35 to 154 of the family's 154-position model. The record is from RNAcentral.